This 251-nucleotide ribosomal RNA is filed under the name Salmonella enterica. RNAcentral describes it as "partial 23S ribosomal RNA". It matches the Rfam family "Bacterial large subunit ribosomal RNA", at positions 2699 to 2925 of the family's 2925-position model. The record is from RNAcentral. Lineage: Bacteria; Pseudomonadati; Pseudomonadota; Gammaproteobacteria; Enterobacterales; Enterobacteriaceae.
GGACGCAUCACUGGUGUUCGGGUUGUCAUGCCAAUGGCACUGCCCGGUAGCUAAAUGCGGAAGAGAUAAGUGCUGAAAGCAUCUAAGCACGAAACUUGCCCCGAGAUGAGUUCUCCCUGAGACUUUAAGUCUCCUGAAGGAACGUUGAAGACGACGACGUUGAUAGGCCGGGUGUGUAAGCGCAGCGAUGCGUUGAGCUAACCGGUACUAAUGAACCGUGAGGCUUAACCUUACAACGCCGAAGAUGGUUU